Non-coding RNA from Podarcis lilfordi (Lilford's wall lizard), 76 nucleotides. The record is from the annotation of a GenBank genome assembly. NCBI's taxonomy places the organism in Eukaryota, Metazoa, Chordata, Lepidosauria, Squamata, Lacertidae.
GGAGAGGCUCAUAGCUCACUGGUAGAGGAUUUGCUUUCCAUGUAGAAGAUCCCGGGUUCAAUCCCUGACAUCUCCA